Molecule: ribosomal RNA, 119 nt
Rfam family: Bacterial large subunit ribosomal RNA
AUUUCCCAUUACGCAAGUAAGUAAGAUCCCUCAAAGACGAUGAGGUAGAUAGGUUCGAGGUGGAAGUGUGGUGACACAUGGAGCUGACGAAUACUAAUCGAUCGAGGACUUAACCAAAA